RNAcentral lists this ribosomal RNA (301 nucleotides) under uncultured bacterium. RNAcentral's name for it is "partial 16S ribosomal RNA". It matches the Rfam family "Bacterial small subunit ribosomal RNA", at positions 509 to 808 of the family's 1533-position model. The record is from RNAcentral.
CAGCAGCCGCGUAAUACGUAGGGUGCGAGCGUUAAUCGGAAUUACUGGGCGUAAAGCGUGCGCAGGCGGUUGUGUAAGACAGGUGUGAAAUCCCCGGGCUUAACCUGGGAACUGCGCUUGUGACUGCACAGCUAGAGUAUGGCAGAGGGGGGUGGAAUUCCACGUGUAGCAGUGAAAUGCGUAGAGAUGUGGAGGAACACCGAUGGUGAAGGCAGCCCCCUGGGCCAAUACUGACGCUCAUGCACGAAAGCGUGGGGAGCAAACAGGAUUAGAUACCCCUGUAGUCCCUGUCUCUUAUACA